GACGAACGCUGGCGGCGUGCCUAACACAUGCAAGUCGAACGGAAAGGCCCUGCUUUUGUGGGGUUCUCGAGUGGCGAACGGGUGAGUAACACGUGAGUAACCUGCCCCUGACUUUGGGAUAACUUCAGGAAACUGGGGCUAAUACCGGAUAUGAUCUCCUGCUGCAUGGGGGGCGUUGGAAAGUGUCGGCGGUUGUGGGUGUACUCGAGGCUUACAGCUUGUUGGUGGUGUAGUGGCUGACCACGGCUUUGACGGGUAGCCGGCCUGAGAGGGUAACCGGCCACCUUGGGACUGAGAUACGGAGCAGACUGCUACGGGCGGCAGCAGUGGGGAAUAUUGCACAAUGGGCGGAAGCGUGAUGUAGAAACGCCGCGUGCGGGAUGACGGGCUUCGGGUUGUAAACCGAUUUGGCAUGUGACGAAGAGUGAGUGACGGUAAUGGGUAAAGAAGCACCGGCUAACUACGUG
RNAcentral lists this ribosomal RNA (467 nucleotides) under uncultured bacterium. RNAcentral's name for it is "partial 16S ribosomal RNA". It matches the Rfam family "Bacterial small subunit ribosomal RNA", at positions 28 to 507 of the family's 1533-position model. The record is from RNAcentral.